CCUACGGGAGGCAGCAGUGGGGAAUAUUGCACAAUGAGGGAAACCUUGAUGCAGCCAUGCCGCGUGUGUGAAGAAGGCCCGAGGGUUGUAAAGCACUUUCAAUUGUGAGGAAAGGUUAGUCGCUAAUAUCGGCUAGCUGUGACGUUAACUUUAGAAGAAGCACCGGCUAACUCUGUGCCAGCAGCCGCGGUAAUACAGAGGGUGCAAGCGUUAUUCGGAAUUACUGGGCGUAAAGCGCGCGUGGGCGGACUGUUAAGUCGGUUGUGAAAGCCCUGGGCUCAACCUAGGAAUUGCAUCCGAUACUGGCAAUCUAGAGUUUAGGAGAGGGAAGUGGAAUUCCUGGUGUAGCAGUGAAAUGCGUAGAUAUCAGGAGGAACAUCAGUGGCGAAGGCGACUUCCUGGCCUAAAACUGACGCUGAGGUGCGAAAGCGUGGGUAGCGAACGGGAUUAGAUACCCCGGUAGUCCACGCCGUAAACGAUGUCAACUAGCUGUUGGCCUUAUUAAAAAGGUUAGUAGCGUAGCUAACGCGCUAAGUUGACCGCCUGGGGAGUACGGUCGCAAGAUUAAAACUCAAAGGAAUUGACGG
This 587-nucleotide ribosomal RNA is filed under the name uncultured bacterium. Its description in RNAcentral is "bacterial SSU rRNA". It matches the Rfam family "Bacterial small subunit ribosomal RNA", at positions 338 to 916 of the family's 1533-position model. The record is from RNAcentral.